Schistocerca piceifrons (Central American locust) is the source of this 4126-nucleotide long non-coding RNA. RefSeq lists it as uncharacterized. The transcript is spliced from 3 exons. The record is from RefSeq and is a predicted model, not a curated record. Lineage: Eukaryota; Metazoa; Arthropoda; Insecta; Orthoptera; Acrididae.
GGUCUCGCUAGGCGCUAUUUGGAACGAGUCCGGCGAAGAAUGCAGCAGCAUCGGCGCUAGCUGCAGGAUCACCCUCGUCUGGACCGCAGCGUGGCUCAGCAUCUCGCAGUGCCUACCCGAGCCGCUCGCCGACGCUACCGACGCCGACUGCCGCGCAGAUGGUGAUGCUGACGCUAGCGGGCGACGCGCCUUCUCCGCGCCUGCGCUCUUCGCAAAGAGGGGGCCGGCCCGUUUCACCUGUUGCUGCUUCCGCCGCCGCCGCCGCCGCUGCCGCCUGCCCUGCUGGUGGUGGUCGUGACGUCACACGGCGCGCACGCCGCCUGCGCCUGCAGCCACCGCGAAAGCCCCGGUACAGCACUUGCCACCCUUUCUCCGUUGUCCUAAGGCGUGUGAGAAGGAGCUUGUAGGUCAGCGCGAAUGAGGUGGGAGUGAGUAAAGGGAUAGAUCUGGAAGUGGAUGCGCGGGCUCGCGAAGGCAACCAGUUUCCUGGAACCAGUAGCCGGCCACGGCUGCCUCUCUCGGCUUCCGCCAGCCACUUCGCUCGCCGCCCGCUUCCUGUUCUGGACCACUCGCCGAGGCGCCAAAUUCCGCAGUUGCACGACCCGACCCGCGAGACCUGCUCCCGUUGCCACCCACAGGUUCCGCCGGCCUCUGCAGACUUGCCGGCCAGUCCAGCGGCUACCGGUUCGCCUCUGACCAGAGUCGAAGCGGCCGCUCGGCUACGCUCAGUCGGCGACCACGCUCCACGGAGCGAAGGUCGAGGCGUGGGCCCCCCCGUGCGGAAGGCGUCUUCAGACGUGACGACUCUUCCGCGUUGGUUCAUUCAUCGUUCUUUUGAAAAUCGAAAUUUUUCCUUCAGAGUGACACCGAGUCAUUCCUCUCAAUUUCUUCUUUUUGUUGGCAAUACCGUAUUGGUAAGCCACUAACAAUUGAGUCUCAUUCCAGUUCUCUCUACUUCACAAUCAACAAACGAGGAAUAAUUUUUCUUUCCGAGAACAAGAUUAGGCUUUAACAUCCCGUCAUCGAUAUGACCACUAUCGGCGGAGCAUCACCAAGUAUUGCACAAGGAUAGAGAAAUGUGCCGUGGGUACACUAGGCUACCUUAACCACUGCAUCACGUGUUAAUUUGGGGAUGUGACAAUGUUUAAUUUCGUUCAAACAACAAAGCUGUUUGGUGAACUGUUAUUUAAUUUAUGGGGCCGCUGAGGGAGCGAAAAGGGUAUAUCUGAAAAACAUUGAAAGAUAAAAUUCUUAAUAUCCACGCGCUGCCGCACCAGUGUUCUUUGAAUGCAGUCGAAUUAAUUAAGCCAGAUAUGGAUCCAACACUAUUGAACAUGAUACCAAUACAGGUCGAGAAUGUGGUUUGUGAACAAGCAUUUUCGUGGACAAACUGCGACUUCCCCCACAACCAGGUGUAACUGACUCUUCAGCUUUGUAUUAUUAAGUCAAUUCCCGUGUUAGAUCCAAUUUCUGACGAAGGUUUUUGAUGAAAGGGAUAUAAGGUACGUUGGCGUGUAACUUUAUUUUGAAAGGCCCUCUAAACCCGGCUCCGUGUGUAAUGGUGCCGUUUAAGGGGUCGAAUUGCGAGCUGGAUGUGUGGUUGAAAGGUUCGUAAUUGGGAAUAACUGUGAAAGGACUUCCAGUUCCAGCGUUCGACAGAUAACCAAGGGAAGUUUCUCGAAAAUCUUGAUCGGAACCGCAAAAUUUGAACUGAUUUGAUGGAAUUUCUUCUGGUGACGCUCCAGAGCUACUAAUUAUUUCAAAAAGGGAGCAACGAAGGCCGAAAAGUUAGGAAAAAAUCUUUACAUUCGGCGUAGUCCAUUAACAUAAUGUUACCAGUGGGCUGCACGAACUAUACAGAUACAUAUACAGAUAUUUGAAAUGUGUAAUGCUCCACGCUAUAUGAUGACAGUGGUUCGUAGUAGAAAGCCGGUAUGACUGUCGUCUAGAUGAUAUAAUGAUCUCGAGGCUUGUUGUACAAUAAAUAAAAUAAUAAUGCAGUUAUUUGGCAGUUUUGUCUUCCUUUUCCAGAAGCUAUUUUUAGUUUCAGUACAAUACAACAGUUAAUACUGCAACGGCCCUUACUGGAUAUGCCACCUGCCAGCGUAUGUGAAAGCUGCGCUUCAAGUUUUGCCCUUGAAUCUAUAUUGUAACGAAAUUUUCUGGCUGAGGAACUGUAAAGUAUGUUGACAUUGAAAUUUUUUGUAUGGCUCACUUAAGAGGCAUUCGUUCGUCAUCUUGCCGUUAGGAGCCGUUAUUUUCUGUCUCGCUAUGUCAUUUGAUGUGGGAAAGUAUUCGUAGUACGUAGGGGAAAAAGAUCAGUCCAAGUUAUCCUUUGAGGAAGCAAACAAAAUACCUGCCAACUAGAAGAAUUGUCGAAGAGACAGAGGUGUAGUCCGUUGGUCGGAAGUGAAAGGUCACCCCUUUGAAAUUUCGUCUGUAAGAUUUGGGCACGGAGCAGUAAGGGACCGGCGGGAAACUAGUGGGCUGAGGCGAUGGUCGAAAAAUCCCGGCCCGUCUAUUGUACGGGUGGUGGCAGGUUCCCGUUAACCCUUCUCGGAAGGUCACGCCAGCCUCCAACAGAGAACACGUUCUUUCCUUUAAACGCGGCUCCGAUUUACGUUGGGCGCCAACGGAUGGUCAGUCACCAGCAGCGGGCAGGCAGCCGCCUUCCCACGGCAGAACUCGUCCAGUUGGUCAUCUGCAGGUAGGGCCCAGUGGUCGCGGCGGGGAAACAGGUUAGUCAGCCAACAGCAGUAUCGCACCAUCUAGGGCUGCCGCUCCGCUUUGAAUAAACUGCCGGCGGCCGAUGGAUAUUAAGUAUUAACCCGAUCCGGCCCUGCCCAGCUCAGCGCUAGCCCUUUGGCCGCGGAACUGGACUGUCCAGUCUCCGACUCACGGAGGCCCAGCUGGUCAUCGCAACCCCUUCGUGCCGGCAGGUUCUCACGGGCGCCUCCCUCCGCAACCGGACUGUCCAGUCGGGAGCAAAGGCGGAUGGCGCGCCCCUUUGAUCCCGUGGUCACUCGGAUCCCAUUCAGAGGCCGGUGGCAGUGUAGCCGCCGCUGCCGCAGUUGUAGCGGAACCGGGUCGUCCUGUUAGAGGCAGGCGGUUUAUAUUAAAAGCGCGAGCGUGAGGAGGCAAGUGGUCACUCGCUGACCGGUUCGGCCGCGCCCUUUGUCAUUGAAAUGCGCGCGCGUGUGUGUGCGCCCCUGCCCGCGCGCGCAUCUCUGUGGGAAGCGCAACAGGCGACGCGCCGGCACCUGGGCCGCGAUGCGACUCGUGGUCACAGCUGAAUCCUUUCGGACCGCCACCGUAUCUGUUGGGCCCUUGUGCCCAAUUUCAUUCUUUCGAGCUCACUGGGAAGUAGCCGUUACGUCGCGGUCCGGAGAUGACCGUUGAAGAUCGCGAUGUACUAACGAAAACCUCUAAUUGUUGUGAAGAAGAAUAUACCUGCUUCUUGGCGACGGUUCGUUACUUCUUGUGUGACCUACUACGGUUCGGUGGACGAUCACAUGUCUUCAGUUAACGGUCCCGUGACUUAAACCUCAUUGCGAACACUACCAUAUACCUUACGUAAAAAAGACUUAACGAAAAGCGUGAACAUCUUGGGAAUUUCAAAUCAAAUAAAUAACUCGGGGCAAGACUCACAAGCGAUAACGUAAAAUCAUUAUUGCCGAAGUAGAAUCGAGAUUUAAAUUUGUAAGAAGAGUCCUGAAAAGAGCGUUACAUCUCCAGCCCGAUCGUCCUUAUUUUCCAGUAUUCUUACCCGAUGUAGUCUCCUUAAAUGUCUUUUUUCCAAAACUAACUAUAUCAAGAAACAUCGUUUUGCAGGCUUAGAAAUUCUUCUCUUAUCUGCCACUGUUAUUAUUGUUAUUAACGUCACAAUAAUUUUCAUUAUUAUUAUUAUUAUUAUAAAGUUAUUAUAUUAUUAUUAUUACUGUUAUCACUAUUAGUGGCUGCAGCUGUAGUAACACAAGUAAUGCCAGUAUUAAAUUUGUUACUUCACAGUCAGUGCACUUUACAAACACAGACAUUCAAAUCAUUUUAAUAUUAAACUUCCUGGCAGAUUAAAACUGUGUGCCCGACCGAAACUCGAACUCGGGACCUUUGCCUUUCGCGGGCAAGU